This 75-nucleotide transfer RNA is filed under the name Podoviridae sp. ctZkC8. RNAcentral's name for it is "tRNA-Val". It matches the Rfam family "tRNA". From Rfam's summary of the family: Transfer RNA (tRNA) molecules are approximately 80 nucleotides in length. Their secondary structure includes four short double-helical elements and three loops (D, anti-codon, and T loops). Further hydrogen bonds mediate the characteristic L-shaped molecular structure. tRNAs have two regions of fundamental functional importance: the anti-codon, which is responsible for specific mRNA codon recognition, and the 3' end, to which the tRNAs corresponding amino acid is attached (by aminoacyl-tRNA synthetases). tRNAs cope with the degeneracy of the genetic code in two manners: having more than one tRNA (with a specific anti-codon) for a particular amino acid; and 'wobble' base-pairing, i.e. permitting non-standard base-pairing at the 3rd anti-codon position. The record is from RNAcentral. Lineage: Duplodnaviria; Heunggongvirae; Uroviricota; Caudoviricetes.
GGUAGGUUAACUCAGUAGGCCAGAGUACUGUAUUAACAAUUCAGCGGUCGUGAGGUUCGAAUCCCACACCUACCA